GUGGGGAAUAUUGCACAAUGGGCGCAAGCCUGAUGCAGCGACGCCGCGUGGGGGAUGAAGGCCUUCGGGUUGUAAACUCCUUUCAACCAUGACGAAGCUGGCCUUGUUGGGUCAGUGACGGUAGUGGUAGAAGAAGCACCGGCUAACUACGUGCCAGCAGCCGCGGUAAUACGUAGGGUGCGAGCGUUGUCCGGAAUUACUGGGCGUAAAGAGCUCGUAGGUGGUUUGUCACGUCGUCUGUGAAAUUCCGGGGCUUAACUCCGGGCGUGCAGGCGAUACGGGCAUAACUUGAGUACUGUAGGGGAGACUGGAAUUCCUGGUGUAGCGGUGAAAUGCGCAGAUAUCAGGAGGAACACCGAUGGCGAAGGCAGGUCUCUGGGCAGUUACUGACGCUGAGGAGCGAAAGCAUGGGUAGCGAACAGGAUUAGAAACCCUAGUAGUCC
Molecule: ribosomal RNA, 443 nt
Filed under: uncultured bacterium
Lineage: Bacteria
Description: bacterial SSU rRNA
Rfam family: Bacterial small subunit ribosomal RNA
Source: RNAcentral